AUUUUAGAAAUCAAUCAUGAAAUAUUUUAGUAGGCUAUGAUAAAAGUUUGGGCUUAAAAUUCUACCGAAUUUCGAACAGUAGUUUACUCAACAGUAUAAAUUUAUAUCGUAGAAAAAGAAAAUAAAAAUAUCUUUUAGACCAGAAAAAUAUCUAUGUUAUUAAAAUUAAUUAAAAAUAAAAUGAAAGAUUAGAGAUAAGCAUGCAUUUAAUUUUAAGAUAAGAGCUACACCUAUGCAUACAAGGUGGCUAAUUUUUCUUCACAAAUUGAAAGUGAAAACGUGGACUGAGAAUUUACCAUGUAGCAGUAGAAUUAGAAAUCUAUAAAUAGGGUCUUAACAUUCACUUUUUACACACAAUUAUCACUCUCACAACUCACACAAAGCUAGGAAAUUCAAUUAAGGUGUCCUAGAUGAAGGUGAUCGCUCAAGUUAUUUUGGGAAGCUUCGAGUUAGUGCAGGAUUCUAAGACCUCAAGUUGAAGUUCAUUGAGAAAAGAAAAAUGGCAUUGUGAGAGACAUUAAAAUAAAGAACGUUAGUGCUGAUUGGUGGUCUAGUUUUAUUUUUGGAGUCCGAAGAGAAAGAUCUCUUUGAUAUGUAUUGAUGACGUCAUUGGAGUACUCUCUAGGUGAUAUGUAUUUUUAGUGUUUGACCAGCUUGUGAUCAUUUCUGGGAUAGAGUCUUCUGUAGGAAUUUAUAUUUUAUUAUUUCAUAUUGAAAAAUUGUACGAUACUUAUGUGAAAUGAAAAUGUUUUAUAUUUGAAAA
Long non-coding RNA from Trifolium pratense (red clover), 763 nucleotides. RefSeq lists it as uncharacterized. The transcript has 3 exons. Lineage: Eukaryota; Viridiplantae; Streptophyta; Magnoliopsida; Fabales; Fabaceae. The record is from RefSeq and is a predicted model, not a curated record.